RNAcentral lists this ribosomal RNA (504 nucleotides) under uncultured bacterium. Its description in RNAcentral is "partial 16S ribosomal RNA". It matches the Rfam family "Bacterial small subunit ribosomal RNA", at positions 28 to 506 of the family's 1533-position model. The record is from RNAcentral.
GACGAACGCUGGCGGCGUGCCUAAUACAUGCCAGUCGAACGCACAGUUUAUACCGUAGCUUGCUACACCAUAGACUCUGACUUGCGAACGGGUGAGUAACGCGUAGGUAACCUGCCUGGUAGCGGGGGAUAACUACUGGAAACGAUAGCUAAUACCGCAUAAUAUUGAUUAUUCCAUGAUAAUAGAUUGAAAUAUGCUAUUUCAUCACUACCAGAUCGACCUGCGAUGUAUUAGCUAGUAGGUCAGGUAACGGCUCACCCAGGCCACGAUACAUAGCCGACCUGAGAGGGUGAUCGGCCACACUGGGACUGAGACACGGCCCAGACUCCUACGGGAGGCAGCAGUAGGGAAUCUUCGGCAAUGGACGAAAGUCUGACCGAGCAACGCCGCGUGAGUGAAGAAGGUCUUCGGAUCGUAAAGCUCUGUUGUAAGAGAAGAACGAGUGUGAGAGUGGAAAGUCCACACUGUAACGGAAUCUUACAAGAAAGGAACGCCUAACUACGU